This 253-nucleotide ribosomal RNA is filed under the name uncultured bacterium. RNAcentral's name for it is "partial 16S ribosomal RNA". It matches the Rfam family "Bacterial small subunit ribosomal RNA", at positions 524 to 776 of the family's 1533-position model. The record is from RNAcentral.
UACGUAGGUGGCAAGCGUUGUCCGGAUUUACUGGGCGUAAAGAGCGCGCAGGCGGUCAGGUAGGUCUGCUGUGAAAACUCGAGGCUUAACCUCGAGCUGUCGGCGGAAACCAUCUGGCUAGAGUCCGGAAGAGGAGAAUGGAAUUCCCGGUGUAGCGGUGAAAUGCGCAGAUAUCGGGAAGAACACCCGUGGCGAAGGCGGUUCUCUGGGACGGUACUGACGCUGAGACGCGAAAGCGUGGGGAGCGAACAGG